RNAcentral lists this ribosomal RNA (219 nucleotides) under Oncorhynchus tshawytscha (Chinook salmon). RNAcentral's name for it is "partial 16S ribosomal RNA". Lineage: Eukaryota; Metazoa; Chordata; Actinopteri; Salmoniformes; Salmonidae. The record is from RNAcentral.
AUGGAGCUUUAGACACCAGGCAGAUCACGUCAAACAACCUUGAAUUAACAAGUAAAAACGCAGUGACCCCUAGCCCAUAUGUCUUUGGUUGGGGCGACCGCGGGGGAAAAUUAAGCCCCCAUGUGGACUGGGGGCACUGCCCCCACAGCCAAGAGCCACAGCUCUAAGCACCAGAAUAUCUGACCAAAAAUGAUCCGGCAAACGCCGAUCAACGGACCG